GAGUGAGAGGAAGAUGAAGGAGAUAAUGCGAAGUGCUGUAUUCGUGGCUUGAUUUGACUGGUAAGAUUGGAUUUGCUGGAUAAGACUGAACUCUCCUUUCCUUACUUUCUUAUAUAUAUAGCUGAUGCAACUAUGGGUGACAGAUAAAGUGAGCUAGUGACAAAGGCAGGGUGUCACUGAUUUAUUAUCUACCUUCCAUGUGCUCAAGAUUCAAUUAACUACGCAUAAGUAGGCUCAGUCAUUGUAAAAAAAUAUACUACAAAUGUACAUGUUUUAUUAGGAAGAAGUUAGAGGAUAAAAUUAAGUUUAAUCGGAAAUCAGUUGUCAUCUCUGAUUAAGAAAAUUCACUGCAUUUUCUCUUGGUAUUAUUCUAAUUAUUAUUCUAACUUUUUCCUCCUGAAUUCACGUGUACAUUUAAAUUUGCCAACCUGCAGCAUGGCAGCUUUUCCCCCAUUUUUUAACAAACCGCAAGGCAGUUAGCUCCACACGGCUGCAACAUCUCUUGCCAAAAGCACACGGUGGGCCGAGGAUGCAGUCGCUCUUCUAGGCCCUAUUACUGGGUAUCUAUAAUUCAUACCUAAAUCCACACCCACUUUAAAUGGGAAGGGUAUGGGUAGAAAUAUAUAUACCCAUUAAAAAUGGGAAGGAUAGGGUAUAGGGAGGGUACAAUUUAUUCAUUGGAUAUGCAUAGGAUCUAGUAAAAAAGUUAAUUAUCCAUUGAUAUGGGGUGAGAACGGGGAGGGUGAGGAUUGGAUAUUAUAUAUUUGAAUUUGGGUAUGAACAAGUGUGGGUUUGUCCAUACCCUCCCCAGUAGCAGGCCUACGCUCUUGCCAAUGGACAUGGCGGGUGCUCGGUUGAUCCAAAGGGUUAUAAUCAUCAUUAUUAUAAUCUUGUGGCUAAUAUUUUAUUGAUGGCAUAGCUUAAUGAGGGGAUUGGUUUGUAGUAGUCAAUAUUAUAGGAUGAAGGAAUUUCUCUUUGAGCGAUUCUAAUCGAUUAAUAGUAGCUUGCCAUUUCCUUUUAUCGCAUAAUAUAUAGAUUUAUGUUAGAAGACUCUUUUUACUUAUAAAUGCCAUAAUAUCAUUCAAGAAAACAUCCGCAAAUUGAACUACUUCUUUUUAUGAAAAAUCAAUCGGUAUAGUACUUCUCAUGUAAUAAACAUUAAAAAAACUUCCACAUUUGCUUUUCACAACAACAAAAAAAUUAUAUGUGUGUAUAUAUGCCCUGAAUUUGGAGGUCUAACUAUGUCCAUUCUUUAAUCAAAGUAAUCGCGACCAACAAUUUGUAAAAGCUAUAGGGCGGGACCUAAACCCACCAUAUCAUCCAGAAAGGUAAACGAAUCCUAUCGCAUCACCUUUAAAAACUCAUAUUGUGUUCUUCACUAAUCCCAUUCUACCUCACCUCACUCCAUCCACCAUCCCCGUUCCCCCAGCCAUCGAUGGGCUAUUGCUGCAGCGGACACAACAAAGGCCUCGCUGCGCAGGGUACGGCACUUGCACACCAAACUCUGCCGUGGGCAAUGCACUGGCCUGUACCUAUGGGUCGGUCCAAAAGAUUGUAAAACUGGUCAAAUUAUGUGUAAUACUAAACAUAUAACCAAAAUAUCAUCAUAAAUUUUGUGACCGGGAAGCUAGCUUAGUGAGACU
Molecule: long non-coding RNA, 1643 nt
Filed under: Setaria viridis
Lineage: Eukaryota; Viridiplantae; Streptophyta; Magnoliopsida; Poales; Poaceae
Description: long non-coding RNA (SVIR_LNC007301)
Source: RNAcentral